Long non-coding RNA from Pezoporus occidentalis (night parrot), 1924 nucleotides. RefSeq lists it as uncharacterized. The transcript has 2 exons. Lineage: Eukaryota; Metazoa; Chordata; Aves; Psittaciformes; Psittacidae. The record is from RefSeq and is a predicted model, not a curated record.
GAGAGACGCCCGCCUGGCUCACAGCACUCUGGUUAAGGGAAGGCUGGUUCAAUAUAGACCAGAGCAACUAACAGCAGACAACGGUCACUUGAGAGUUUUCAGGAGGCCGAAAGUCACCUACAGACAGUCCCUCGAGGCCACACAUGGCAGCACGUGGUUGCAGGGAAAAGGCAGGACCCCUGUGUGCAUCACUGCCCACCUCUGCAAGUGCCUGGAGAGGCCGAUGAGAGGAUGUUCCUGUGCCCCAGUCAGUCACACAGCUAUCAAAGGCAGGUAGAGCUUCUCCACUGUCAUCCCAACAACAAAACCAGCUUCACUAAUAAUGAAAUCAGACACUGAGUACAUUGGAAUAUUUUAUUUUGACUUUACAUGCGGUGUUAAAAACCCAAAGAACGUAUUAUUUACACAUCCACAAUACAAGUUUACAAGAUAUCUAUACAUGUUAAAGUACUCUAUAGUAUAGAGCAGCUUCAUUUAAGGGUUACUUUUUUAUGCCGUACCAUUAAAAAAGAUACAAUCUGCGUUUACCUUUGCACAAAUGGAUAAAGCAUCUUUUAUUAUUAAAUUAACAGAAUAAGGACUAGGUUGAAUGUUAGAAAUUUCAACAUAAAUACUGAGAGAACUCACAUUACCAUCUACAAGGCAGCACAAUGUUACAGGAGGUUAUCAGGGUUCACAUACAUUUAUUGUUCGGUUUCACACAAGUCUGUAUUAAUAUUUGUAAAGUGAAUUCAGAUCAGUUUGUGUCUUUUGACAACCAAGUACAUUUUUAAUAGUUAUUAAUCUGUAGUGUUUUAGUUGCAGGACAGAAGUGUUUAGGAAAAGAGAUCAUUGAUUUUUGGAUCCAGAGGUCUCGGGAAAUAAAUGUCCCUUACAGCCUUACAAGAAAAAAAUGACUACUUCUAUCCUCUAUUCUUUGUUCUGUAACAGAGAUCCUCUCUUCAGUGACUAACCUUUUCUCCCCCUUGAACACAUAAUAUAAAUCUCCACCGUCUCUGAAACCCAUUGCAGUUAUUUGUCCCACUAAUUCAUGAAUAUUCCUCUGCUGUGGUUAUUUCUAUAGUUAUGUUCAAUAAACAAUGUGGUAGUGUGUAGUUUGCAAGCUAAAAUAGCCAUCUGUGUUGAACAUCAGCUGCAAGUGGAUACUGUAAAACCUACUAAAUAGCUUACACAACUUUAGCAGGUGUUCCAUUACCCUAGAAACCUCAUUUGAUUUCACAUUAUAUGUGUUUGAUCCUUCGGAGAGCUGGAGUGGAAUGUUUAUCAUGGUAAGGUGAUUUAAUGCUGCUGUCUUCUUGGACUGUAGGCUGCCUUUAGUUACCAUUAAUUAUUCUCGCUUUUUAUCUUUUUUUUUUUGGGUGCUGUUGAGAGGUUUUAUAACUGGCACUCGGGAGAUAUGUGCUAUAGUGAGAACACUUGACAGAUUCAUUUAUUUUUUUAGUACUUUUAUCAUUUGCAUGAAUAAGGCACAAAAUGCACAGAUUCAGGUAAACUCACACAUAAUAUUUACAGAAUAUUGUCAUUACCUGCAUGACUUUGGAAAAAAAAACAACCUUACAUUACACAACAAAAACGAAUUGAUUGCACUACUGUUGAGUUUUCACAGACUGCUUCUGCCAGGCCAAUUAAUGUUUCUUCUUUUUUAUUGACAAGAGUCUAUCAGCGUGUAGGGCAUUAUUAAAUGCAACAAAAACAUAACCUUCUCUAGCUACACAGGCCUUUGCUCAGUGGAUUGAUUAUUAGCUGCCCUCAAUGAGAAGUACAGGGUCACAGGUUCACAGUGGCCAGGUACUGGAUGGAGGCACUGUGGAAACACAGCGCAACUCCACCGCUCCAGCCCAAACCACUAGAUUUGAAAUGCACAGCUCUGAAUCAAUAGCAGCAUAACAGAGUUAUGAAGAAUUAAACAAUCUGCGCUCUUUCA